UGUCCUACGGGGCGCAGCAGUGAGGAAUAUUGGUCAAUGGCCGUAAGGCUGAACCAGCCAAGUCGCGUGAAGGAAGAAGGAUCUAUGGUUUGUAAACUUCUUUUAUAGGGGAAUAAAGGUAUCCACGUGUGGAUAUUUGCAUGUACCCUAUGAAUAAGCAUCGGCUAACUCCGUGCCAGCAGCCGCGGUAAUACGGAGGAUGCGAGCGUUAUCCGGAUUUAUUGGGUUUAAAGGGUGCGCAGGCGGAAGAUCAAGUCAGCGGUAAAAUUGAGAGGCUCAACCUCUUCGAGCCGUUGAAACUGGUU
RNAcentral lists this ribosomal RNA (305 nucleotides) under uncultured bacterium. RNAcentral's name for it is "bacterial SSU rRNA". It matches the Rfam family "Bacterial small subunit ribosomal RNA", at positions 335 to 638 of the family's 1533-position model. The record is from RNAcentral.